RNAcentral lists this ribosomal RNA (301 nucleotides) under uncultured bacterium. Its description in RNAcentral is "partial 16S ribosomal RNA". It matches the Rfam family "Bacterial small subunit ribosomal RNA", at positions 509 to 807 of the family's 1533-position model. The record is from RNAcentral.
CAGCAGCCGCGGGAAUACGAAGGGUGCAAGCGUUAAUCGGAAUUACUGGGCGUAAAGCGUGCGUAGGCGGUUUGUUAAGUCUGUUGUGAAAUCCCCGGGCUCAACCUGGGAAUGGCAAUGGAUACUGGCAAGCUAGAGUGUGUCAGAGGAUGGUGGAAUUCCCGGUGUAGCGGUGAAAUGCGUAGAGAUCGGGAGGAACACCAACGGCGAAAGCACUCUGCUGGGCCGACACUGACACUGAGAGACGAAAGCUAGGGGAGCAAAUGGGAUUAGAUACCCGCGUAGUCCCUGUCUCUUAUAC